UACAGAGGUCUCAAGCGUUGUUCGGAUUCAUUGGGCGUAAAGGGUGCGUAGGUGGCGCGCUAAGUCAGGUGUGAAAUCUCGGAGCUUAACUCCGAAACUGCAUUUGAUACUGGCGUGCUUGAGGACUGGAGAGGAGACUGGAAUUCACGGUGUAGCAGUGAAAUGCGUAGAUAUCGUGAGGAAGACCAGUGGCGAAGGCGGGUCUCUGGCCCGGUACUGACGCUGAGGUGCGAAAGCGUGGGGAGCAAACAGG
This 253-nucleotide ribosomal RNA is filed under the name uncultured bacterium. RNAcentral describes it as "partial 16S ribosomal RNA". It matches the Rfam family "Bacterial small subunit ribosomal RNA", at positions 524 to 776 of the family's 1533-position model. The record is from RNAcentral.